CCUGAAGAGAGGUUUGCCUUUCCGGUGCUCUCCUCCUGGGAGUACGGCUGGAGGCUCGGCGACUACACCCUGGACUACAAAACCCCGUCCAGCGCCAAGUCCUCGGUGGUGAAGAACACUUUCUACGCCAAGAAUGGAGUCUUCAGUGGUUCAGCAGAAACCAACGAGAUGGUCUGAAGAGCAGCUGUCGGACUGCAGAGCCUGAUCUUAAAAGUAUUAUCUAUUUAUAAUCGAGUUGUCACGUUUAACCUAUUUCCAGUCUGUGUACGUCAUCAGUUCAUCUUUCGUCCUUCAGCUUCUGUUCAAGCUCUCCUCCCUCUUUGUAAACAUUUCUUUGCAUAAAACUCUUGUAAUUUGA
Long non-coding RNA from Salarias fasciatus (jewelled blenny), 358 nucleotides. RefSeq lists it as uncharacterized. The transcript is spliced from 2 exons. NCBI's taxonomy places the organism in Eukaryota, Metazoa, Chordata, Actinopteri, Blenniiformes, Blenniidae. The record is from RefSeq and is a predicted model, not a curated record.